RNAcentral lists this ribosomal RNA (464 nucleotides) under Parvimonas micra. Its description in RNAcentral is "bacterial SSU rRNA". It matches the Rfam family "Bacterial small subunit ribosomal RNA", at positions 28 to 493 of the family's 1533-position model. Lineage: Bacteria; Bacillati; Bacillota; Tissierellia; Tissierellales; Peptoniphilaceae. The record is from RNAcentral.
GACGAACGCUGGCGGCGUGCUUAACACAUGCAAGUCGAACGUGACUUUUGUGGAAAUUCUUUCGGGAAUGGAAAUGAAAUGAAAGUGGCGAACGGGUGAGUAACACGUGAGCAACCUACCUUACACAGGGGGAUAGCCGUUGGAAACGACGAUUAAUACCGCAUGAGACCACAGAAUCGCAUGAUAUAGGGGUCAAAGAUUUAUCGGUGUAAGAAGGGCUCGCGUCUGAUUAGCUAGUUGGAAGGGUAAAGGCCUACCAAGGCGACGAUCAGUAGCCGGUCUGAGAGGAUGAACGGCCACAUUGGAACUGAGACACGGUCCAAACUCCUACGGGAGGCAGCAGUGGGGAAUAUUGCACAAUGGGGGGAACCCUGAUGCAGCGACGCCGCGUGAGCGAAGAAGGUUUUCGAAUCGUAAAGCUCUGUCCUAUGAGAGGAUAAUGACGGUAUCAUAGGAGGAAGCCC